This 407-nucleotide ribosomal RNA is filed under the name uncultured bacterium. Its description in RNAcentral is "partial 16S ribosomal RNA". It matches the Rfam family "Bacterial small subunit ribosomal RNA", at positions 28 to 526 of the family's 1533-position model. The record is from RNAcentral.
GACGAACGCUGGCGGCGUGCCUAAUACAUGCAAGUCGAACGCAGUGGCGGACGGGUGAGUAACACGUGGGUAACCUACCCAUCAGAGGGGGAUAACAGUUGGAAACGACUGCUAAUACCGCAUACUGAAGGAGGGGAUUGCGUCUGAUUAGCUAGUUGGAGGGGUAACGGCCUACCAAGGCAAUGAUGCAUAGCCGACCUGAGAGGGUAAUCGGCCACAUUGGGACUGAGACACGGCCCAAACUCCUACGGAGGCAGCAGUAGGGAAUCUUCCGCAAUGGGCGCAAGCCUGACGGAGCAACGCCGCGUGAGUGAAGAAGGUUUUCGGAUCGUAAAGCUCUGUUGUAAGAGAAGCGGUAUCUUACCAGAAAGCCACGGCUAACUACGUGCCAGCAGCCGCGGUAAUAC